Molecule: ribosomal RNA, 253 nt
Filed under: uncultured bacterium
Lineage: Bacteria
Description: partial 16S ribosomal RNA
Rfam family: Bacterial small subunit ribosomal RNA
Source: RNAcentral
UACGUAGAGGGCAAGCGUUGUCCGGAAUCAUUGGGCGUAAAGAGCGUGUAGGCGGCUUGGUAAGUCCGCUGUGAAAGUCCAGGGCUCAACCCUGGAAUGCCGGUGGAAACUGUCAAGCUUGAGUCCGGAAGAGGCGAGUGGAAUUCCUGGUGUAGCGGUGAAAUGCGCAGAUAUCAGGAGGAACACCAAUGGCGAAGGCAGCUCGCUGGGACGGUACUGACGCUGAGACGCGAAAGCGUGGGGAGCAAACAGG